Small nuclear RNA from Nomascus leucogenys (northern white-cheeked gibbon), 96 nucleotides. NCBI's taxonomy places the organism in Eukaryota, Metazoa, Chordata, Mammalia, Primates, Hylobatidae. The record is from Ensembl.
UUUUGUUAGCAAAAAUAUUAAAAAUACAAACAAUCAAGAUUAGCAUGGCCCCGUGCCAAGAAUGACACGUAAAUUCUUGAAGUGUUUCAUUUUUUU